GGAGAGGUGGGAGAGUGGCUGAAUCCGCCAGUUUGCUAAACUGGUGUACUCGAAAGGGUACCGGGGGUUCGAAUCCCCCUCUCUCCGCCA
RNAcentral lists this transfer RNA (90 nucleotides) under Bacteroidota bacterium. Its description in RNAcentral is "Bacteroidetes bacterium tRNA-Ser". It matches the Rfam family "tRNA". From Rfam's summary of the family: Transfer RNA (tRNA) molecules are approximately 80 nucleotides in length. Their secondary structure includes four short double-helical elements and three loops (D, anti-codon, and T loops). The record is from RNAcentral. Lineage: Bacteria; Pseudomonadati; Bacteroidota.